This 465-nucleotide ribosomal RNA is filed under the name Vreelandella stevensii. RNAcentral's name for it is "partial 16S ribosomal RNA". It matches the Rfam family "Bacterial small subunit ribosomal RNA", at positions 338 to 795 of the family's 1533-position model. Lineage: Bacteria; Pseudomonadati; Pseudomonadota; Gammaproteobacteria; Oceanospirillales; Halomonadaceae. The record is from RNAcentral.
CCUACGGGAGGCAGCAGUGGGGAAUAUUGGACAAUGGGGGGAACCCUGAUCCAGCCAUGCCGCGUGUGUGAAGAAGGCCCUCGGGUUGUAAAGCACUUUCAGUGAGGAAGAACGCCUGGUGGUUAAUACCCAUCAGGAAAGACGUCACUCACAGAAGAAGCACCGGCUAACUCCGUGCCAGCAGCCGCGGUAAUACGGAGGGUGCGAGCGUUAAUCGGAAUUACUGGGCGUAAAGCGCGCGUAGGUGGCUUGAUAAGCCGGUUGUGAAAGCCCCGGGCUCAACCUGGGAACGGCAUCCGGAACUGGCAAGCUAGAGUGCAGGAGAGGAAGGUAGAAUUCCCGGUGUAGCGGUGAAAUGCGUAGAGAUCGGGAGGAAUACCAGUGGCGAAGGCGGCCCUCUGGACUGACACUGACACUGAGGUGCGAAAGCGUGGGUAGCAAACAGGAUUAGAUACCCGAGUAGUC